CAAGGGUUUUCUUUUUCUGUGGGGUUUUGUGCUUCACUACGUCGUCUGCUUCUCUCGUCCCCAUUCGAAGAUGAAGCUCGUCAGGUUUUUGAUGAAGCUGAACAACGAAACUGUGUCAAUCGAGCUGAAGAACGGAACCGUAGUUCAUGGCACUAUCACUGGUGUGGAUGUGAGCAUGAACACUCACUUAAAGACUGUAAAACUGACUCUGAAGGGGAAAAACCCAGUUACGCUUGAUCAUCUAAGCGUUAGGGGUAACAAUAUCCGCUACUAUAUUCUUCCCGAUAGCUUGAAUCUGGAAACUUUACUUGUGGAGGACACACCCCGGAUUAAGCCCAAGAAAGCUGCUGCUGGGAAACCUGUUGGACGUGGCAGGGGACGAGGACGUGGGCGUGGGCGUGGGCGUGGCAGAGGUCGUUAGAUGUGUUCUUUGUAUGAAACCUGUUGGAUAUGACAGGGGAUGGCGACAUGGACUUGUGCAUUUGCCCUUGUUGGCUACAAUCCAGGAGCAGUGCACUGAGUAAAGCUGAGGUUCCCCGAUGAGUAACUGGUUGGGAUUGCACUGGUAGGGAUAGGGAUAGCAAGGCACGCCAUAUCCAUGAGGCCAUGGACAGCAAGUUUUCUCGUUAGGGCGAUCAUAUCCACUUCAUCCCCAGUGACCUCUAUCUGGUUCCUGUGAUCCCCCUUGAUUUCUACUGCCGUCACGCCUAUACGAUCAUAUGUACAUAAGCAUAUAUAUAUAUAUAUCCCCGUCAGUUCCACUGACACAGAAUGUUUGAAGCAUCAGUUUCUCAAGGUUCUGUCUGAGAAAUUUUACCUGUAAACUGAACUGCUUUGUUCAUUGCUCUUGCUCGGGUUUUAUCA
Molecule: RNA transcript, 864 nt
Organism: Tarenaya hassleriana
Lineage: Eukaryota; Viridiplantae; Streptophyta; Magnoliopsida; Brassicales; Cleomaceae
Gene name: small nuclear ribonucleoprotein Sm D1-like
Exons: 6
Source: RefSeq, a predicted model, not a curated record